Zingiber officinale is the source of this 320-nucleotide long non-coding RNA. RefSeq lists it as uncharacterized. The transcript is spliced from 4 exons. The record is from RefSeq and is a predicted model, not a curated record. Lineage: Eukaryota; Viridiplantae; Streptophyta; Magnoliopsida; Zingiberales; Zingiberaceae.
GUAUGCUCAUGGAUCCUCUGAUCUGCUUGGUAUUCAGAUUGAUGCUGCAAUAAACCCUGGAAACAGUGGUGGUCCUGCCUUCAAUGAUCGUGGUGAGUGUAUUGGUGUGGCAUUCCAGGUUUUCAGAUCCGAAGACACUGAAAAUAUUGGAUAUGUUAUUCCAACCACUGUGGUUUCUCAUUUUCUUGAUGAUUAUGAAAGAAAUGGGAAGUAUACUGGAUUUCCUUCUCUUGGGGUAUUACUUCAGAAAUUGGAGAAUCCAGCAUUGCGGGCAUGCUUAAAAGUACCUUCUAAUGAGGUAUUUAUGUUGAUUUUCUAGA